UGCCUCCCGGUGCUUACCACAGGUAGCGGGCUUACAUUGACUUUAUAGAAAAAAGAGGGAGAAUAAGCCUGUGCCCCCCAUACACCUCAGCCCAGGCCUUGCACCUUGUCCAUACUGUGAAUGGGGAAACAAGG
This is a small nucleolar RNA of Octodon degus (degu), 134 nucleotides long. Lineage: Eukaryota; Metazoa; Chordata; Mammalia; Rodentia; Octodontidae. The record is from Ensembl.